CCUACGGGGGGCUGCAGUGGGGAAUAUUGGACAAUGGGGGGAACCCUGAUCCAGCCAUGCCGCGUGUGUGAAGAAGGCCCUCGGGUUGAAAAGCACUUUCAGUGAGGAAGAACGCCUGGUGGUUAAUACCCAUCAGGAAAGACAUCACUCACAGAAGAAGCACCGGCUAACUCCGUGCCAGCAGCCGCGGUAAUACGGAGGGUGCGAGCGUUAAUCGGAAUUACUGGGCGUAAAGCGCGCGUAGGUGGCUUGAUAAGCCGGUUGUGAAAGCCCCGGGCUCAACCUGGGAACGGCAUCCGGAACUGUCAAGCUAGAGUGCAGGAGAGGAAGGUAGAAUUCCCGGUGUAGCGGUGAAAUGCGUAGAGAUCGGGAGGAAUACCAGUGGCGAAGGCGGCCUUCUGGACUGACACUGACACUGAGGUGCGAAAGCGUGGGUAGCAAACAGGAUUAGAUACCCUGGUAGUC
This 465-nucleotide ribosomal RNA is filed under the name Vreelandella stevensii. RNAcentral describes it as "partial 16S ribosomal RNA". It matches the Rfam family "Bacterial small subunit ribosomal RNA", at positions 338 to 795 of the family's 1533-position model. Lineage: Bacteria; Pseudomonadati; Pseudomonadota; Gammaproteobacteria; Oceanospirillales; Halomonadaceae. The record is from RNAcentral.